RNAcentral lists this ribosomal RNA (523 nucleotides) under Salmonella enterica. RNAcentral's name for it is "bacterial SSU rRNA". It matches the Rfam family "Bacterial small subunit ribosomal RNA", at positions 1 to 513 of the family's 1533-position model. Lineage: Bacteria; Pseudomonadati; Pseudomonadota; Gammaproteobacteria; Enterobacterales; Enterobacteriaceae. The record is from RNAcentral.
AAAUUGAAGAGUUUGAUCAUGGCUCAGAUUGAACGCUGGCGGCAGGCCUAACACAUGCAAGUCGAACGGUAACAGGAAGCAGCUUGCUGCUUUGCUGACGAGUGGCGGACGGGUGAGUAAUGUCUGGGAAACUGCCUGAUGGAGGGGGAUAACUACUGGAAACGGUGGCUAAUACCGCAUAACGUCGCAAGACCAAAGAGGGGGACCUUCGGGCCUCUUGCCAUCAGAUGUGCCCAGAUGGGAUUAGCUAGUUGGUGAGGUAACGGCUCACCAAGGCGACGAUCCCUAGCUGGUCUGAGAGGAUGACCAGCCACACUGGAACUGAGACACGGUCCAGACUCCUACGGGAGGCAGCAGUGGGGAAUAUUGCACAAUGGGCGCAAGCCUGAUGCAGCCAUGCCGCGUGUAUGAAGAAGGCCUUAGGGUUGUAAAGUACUUUCAGCGGGGAGGAAGGUGUUGCGGUUAAUAACCGCAGCAAUUGACGUUACCCGCAGAAGAAGCACCGGCUAACUCCGUGCCAGCA